CUCUUCGGAGCUAGCGGCGGACGGGUUAGUAACGCGUGGGAACGUGCCCUUCACUGCGGAAUAGCCACUGGAAACGGUGAGUAAUACCGCAUACGCCCUUCGGGGGAAAGAUUUAUCGGUGAAGGAUCGGCCCGCGUUAGAUUAGAUAGUUGGUGGGGUAACGGCCUACCAAGUCUACGAUCUAUAGCUGGUUUUAGAGGAUGAUCAGCAACACUGGGACUGAGACACGGCCCAGACUCCUACGGGAGGCAGCAGUGGGGAAUCUUGGACAAUGGGCGCAAGCCUGAUCCAGCCAUGCCGCGUGAGUGAUGAAGGCCUUAGGGUCGUAAAGCUCUUUCGCCAGAGAUGAUAAUGACAGUAUCUGGUAAAGAAACCCCGGCUAACUCCGUGCCAGCAGCCGCGGUAAUACGGAGGGGGUUAGCGUUGUUCGGAAUUACUGGGCGUAAAGCGCACGUAGGCGGAUCAGAAAGUUGGGGGUGAAAUCCCGGGGCUCAACCCCGGAACUGCCUCCAAAACUCCUGGUCUUGAGUUCGAGAGAGGUGAGUGGAAUUCCGAGUGUAGAGGUGAAAUUCGUAGAUAUUCGGAGGAACACCAGUGGCGAAGGCGGCUCACUGGCUCGAUACUGACGCUGAGGUGCGAAAGUGUGGGGAGCAAACAGGAUUAGAUACCCUGGUAGUCCACACCGUAAACGAUGAAUGCCAGUCGUC
Molecule: ribosomal RNA, 707 nt
Filed under: Rhodobacterales bacterium HOT5E5
Lineage: Bacteria; Pseudomonadati; Pseudomonadota; Alphaproteobacteria; Rhodobacterales
Description: bacterial SSU rRNA
Rfam family: Bacterial small subunit ribosomal RNA
Source: RNAcentral